UGUUAAAAACUAAUCUAUUUUUACAUUUAAAAAUUAGCAUAAUUGAUGAUAUAACCAGACAAUUACAUGUGAUGUGCUACUGUAUACUUUGUGCUAAUAUAUAAUGACCAACUUUUAACAAUAAAAAUGAAAAGAAUUUUUAACA
This is a microRNA precursor of Gossypium arboreum, 145 nucleotides long. It matches the Rfam family "MIR7502 microRNA precursor family". The record is from Rfam. NCBI's taxonomy places the organism in Eukaryota, Viridiplantae, Streptophyta, Magnoliopsida, Malvales, Malvaceae.